Long non-coding RNA from Cyprinus carpio (common carp), 1653 nucleotides. The record is from Ensembl. Lineage: Eukaryota; Metazoa; Chordata; Actinopteri; Cypriniformes; Cyprinidae.
CAAAAAUAAUGUUUUAUUUUUUCAUUCACCAAGCAGUUUUUAGGUUUCAGGCUAUUUUUAACCAAAAUUUGUACAAAGAUGAUUCUCAUCUAUGGUAUAAAGGAUGUAACAGAAUGGUUUGAUAUACUACUGUACUUUAUGAAAUGUCCAUAAAUUGGUUUUCCCAUUCUAUACAAUGCAUCUAAAUUGCAUAUUGAUGUGUUCUUGGAGCAAACCAUAAUGAAAAAAAGUGUAAUAACUGGAGUAAUAACUUGGCAACAUUUUCAUAAGACAUUUCAACAUUUUCUUUCCCUAUUGACUCGUUGUGCCUCCCCAAAAUGCUUGCUUAACAUGCCGUUUGUCCUGGUGUCCUCAACAGAAGACAUGUAUGAAAGUUAUGCCCUGUUUUGUAACAAAAAGUCAUAUUCCGAUUCACAACAUUUUUCUGAGAUUUUUAUUUACAAUAAACAAUUUGAAAAUUAGGCAGAUUUAAAUGAUAAUUACAAAACAUUAUCAGAUUUCCCUAAGAGUGCUAAAUGUGAUCAUUCUGUCAAUAUCAGUCUUAUCUACAGUCCAAGGUGAGGGAGUGUUUAUGAUCAAACCUCCAAACAUCUGAUAUCUCUAAAAUGCGCCCUGAAUGCGCUCUGUACAGACUGUGGCAUGUAUAGUCUCAGAGAAAUUCACUAAAAUAUAAUGUCCUCUACAGAGUACAAAAGUAUAAAGGAGCAUAUUGUGACAUUUUCAAGACCUGGGGGAGGAUGGUGCGCUGCAGGUGUCACGUUGCAGAUUUAGUCCAGUAGGUGGCGAUACUGAAGCAGUUGAUUCUACAAACAAUACUAACAGCAAGAGAAGGAGAAUUUUAAGAUUCCGCGGCGAUGUUUGGUUUUAAAUAAGUAUAAACCGAUUUUAUUUGUAUGCCAAAUACUUGUUAUCCAAGUAGAAAUGCAUUUCAACAAGUAUAAAGAUAAACAUCAUCAAGAGUUGAGUUUGUCGUCUUCUUUUAUUACCGCUCCCAAUGAUAAAACGCUGAUAAUGGCGUCUAAAGAGAAGAAGGAAAACAUAAGAAAGGGCAAACAGACGGCAAAUGUCUACGCAGCGAAGAUAAAGACCAAGAUACACAAUACCUCAUCAUUCUUCAAGCUUUCUUUGAAAUGUAACAACAAGGCUCUGGCUCUGGCUCUGGUUGCUCAGAAGCAGAAGAGCAGAGAGCUGGAGGCAGAGGUGGUGCGACUGAGGAAAGAAGCGCAGACAGCUCAUUUUGAUCUUGCUCAGCAGCGUCAUAAAAACAAACAACUGUUUGCCAUUAUACAAGAGUUUUAUGGUUCUUCCCUUAACUGGAUGACAAAGGCGGUUGAUAUUUUUUGCAAUGAGGAGGAUCAAGACUCCGAACACAACACCAGUGAAGACCAAAUGAUUGAAAUAGAGAAAGAGGUUGGGAGUCUGCAAGACAAACCAUUGUGUCCACAGGAGGAUUAUGAGAGUCCUGAACCAGUGAAUACAGCCGUUGAUGAUCCCAGCCAAGAAAGAGACAGUCCAGCACAGCAAAACACCAUAUAUGACUCUGAAAUGGAGAGGAGAGGCCUCCCUGGGAGACCCUCGAUGGUUACACUGAAGCACUCUCAGAUGAAAGCUCUGCCCAUAGCCCUCAACCAAAGACCCACUGUCAAACUAUGA